Molecule: long non-coding RNA, 915 nt
Filed under: Salmo salar (Atlantic salmon)
Lineage: Eukaryota; Metazoa; Chordata; Actinopteri; Salmoniformes; Salmonidae
Description: lncRNA (ENSSSAG00000108532.1)
Source: RNAcentral
CCGCGCUCACACGACUGACCCCCCGCGGACCCGCACGGUUUGGUUACACUGUUAAUGAUCACAGAAAUGGGCCUAUAUAGUCAACUUUAGGCCUAGUCUACUACUACCAAUCUGUGGUAUUAUAAGCAUUUCAACUGCCAGAGAAAUGGAUGGAAAUGACCGAUGGACAAAUAUCAACCUGCUAUUGAUAACUAGGCGAUAGAGGGAGAGAGACAGCGAGUGAGCGAGAGAGUUAGAACCCUCAAUGUCUCAAAUCCUAAUCCUGCGAUAAGAAACAGCAGCCUUAGUUGGCCGGUGGUAGCUGGUCCCCUACAAGACGGUGAGGUGCCGGAGGUCCCUCCGCCCCCUCUAGACAUCAAGGGGUCCCCGGCGUACACAGUAUGUGCUAUUCUGGACUCGAGAAGCCGGGUGAGGGGCCUGCAGUACCUCGUGGACUGGGAGAGGUACAGCCCGGAGGAGAGGUGCUGGGUACCGGUGGGGGUACCGGUGGGGGACAUCCUGGAUCCAUCACUGUUGAGGGAUUUCCAUCGCCUCCAUCCGGAUCGCCCUACGCCUCGCCCUCCGGGUCGGCGCACUGCGGGAGCCGCGCGUCGGGGGGGAUACUUUCAGGAUUCCUACUGAGGGUGACUCCUCUCCCUGUUCGGGUGGCGCUCGGCGGUCGUCGUCACCGGCCUACUAGCUGCCACCGAUCCCUUUUUCCCUUUCUGUUUGUUUUGUCUAAUUAGUUUCACCUGUUUUCAUUUAGGCUUGUUAGUUGGGCUAUUUAAGCCAGUAGGCCCGCCUGUUCUUUGUGCGGACUUAAUGAUCCUUCCACUGUGUUCUGUGUGGUGGAUAGUAUAUUUUGGGCGUUUGUAUUUUGGUGCGCCCGACAUUUUGGGCAAAUUACUUUUGUGCGUAAUAAAGCGCAACCUUGAA